CCUUCGGGGUGUAAAGAGCUUUUCUGGAGGAAGAAGUUUCGGCUGACAGUACUUCAGGAAUAAGGGGGUGCUAAUCACGUGCCAGCAGCCGCGGUAAUACGUGACCCCCAAGCGUUAUCCGGAUUUAUUGGGCGUAAAGCGUCUGUAGGCGCCCCGCCAGGUUUUCUGUUAAAUCUCUAGGGCUUAACCUUAGAACUGCAGAAAAAACCGGCGGGGUAGAGGGCGUUAGAGGCUGAUGGAACGGUCGGUGUAGAGGUGAAAUUCGUUGAUAUCGACCGGAACACCAAAAGCGAAGGCAUUCAGCUGGAGCGACCCUGACGCUGAGAGACGAAAGCGUGGGGAGCAAAAAGGAUUAGAUACCCUUGUAGUCCACGCUGUAAACGAUGGACACUGGCUAUUUGAAGUGUCGACCCUUCAAGUGGCGAAGCUAACGCGUUAAGUGUCCCGCCUGGGAAGUACGGCGGCAACGCUAAAACUCAAAGGAAUAGACGGGGACUCACACAAGCGGUGGACCAUGUGGCUUAAUUCGACAACAAGCGAAGAACCUUACCAGGGCUU
Molecule: ribosomal RNA, 558 nt
Filed under: uncultured bacterium
Lineage: Bacteria
Description: bacterial SSU rRNA
Rfam family: Bacterial small subunit ribosomal RNA
Source: RNAcentral